This 372-nucleotide ribosomal RNA is filed under the name uncultured organism. Its description in RNAcentral is "bacterial SSU rRNA". It matches the Rfam family "Bacterial small subunit ribosomal RNA", at positions 526 to 896 of the family's 1533-position model. The record is from RNAcentral.
CGAAGGGUGCAAGCGUUACUCGGAAUUACUGGGCGUAAAGCGUGCGUAGGUGGUUGUUUAAGUCCGUUGUGAAAGCCCUGGGCUCAACCUGGGAAUUGCAGUGGAUACUGGGCAACUAGAGUGUGGUAGAGGAUGGCGGAAUUCCCGGUGUAGCAGUGAAAUGCGUAGAGAUCGGGAGGAACAUCUGUGGCGAAGGCGGCCAUCUGGACCAACACUGACACUGAGGCACGAAAGCGUGGGGAGCAAACAGGAUUAGAUACCCUGGUAGUCCACGCCCUAAACGAUGCGAACUGGAUGUUGGGUGCAACUUGGCACGCAGUAUCGAAGCUAACGCGUUAAGUUCGCCGCCUGGGGAGUACGGUCGCAAGACUG